This 321-nucleotide ribosomal RNA is filed under the name Klebsiella pneumoniae. Its description in RNAcentral is "bacterial LSU rRNA". It matches the Rfam family "Bacterial large subunit ribosomal RNA", at positions 2591 to 2907 of the family's 2925-position model. Lineage: Bacteria; Pseudomonadati; Pseudomonadota; Gammaproteobacteria; Enterobacterales; Enterobacteriaceae. The record is from RNAcentral.
AAGUGGUACGCGAGCUGGGUUUAGAACGUCGUGAGACAGUUCGGUCCCUAUCUGCCGUGGGCGCUGGAGAAUUGAGGGGGGCUGCUCCUAGUACGAGAGGACCGGAGUGGACGCAUCACUGGUGUUCGGGUUGUCAUGCCAAUGGCACUGCCCGGUAGCUAAAUGCGGAAGAGAUAAGUGCUGAAAGCAUCUAAGCACGAAACUUGCCCCGAGAUGAGUUCUCCCUGAGACUUUAAGUCUCCUGAAGGAACGUUAAAGACGAUGACGUUGAUAGGCGGGUGUGUAAGCGCAGCGAUGCGUUGAGCUAACCGGUACUAAUGA